RNAcentral lists this long non-coding RNA (743 nucleotides) under Calidris pugnax (ruff). RNAcentral's name for it is "lncRNA (ENSCPUG00000000638.1)". Lineage: Eukaryota; Metazoa; Chordata; Aves; Charadriiformes; Scolopacidae. The record is from RNAcentral.
AUGUUUAAUCCUAGCUUGAUAUUUCCUUCUCCUUUAUACAGGUACUUAGAAAAAGACCGUAAGCACAAAGAACAGAAUGCCUUUGAGAAAACAGGAUUUCAUGUGUACCCAGCCACUCAUUCCUGUAAUAGGAAGUAUUCUGUAUCUCUUACAGGUAGUCCAGGGUAUUUGGCAGACAGUCUUUCUGAUGUUUCUGAAGUAGAAACAGUAACGGUAGCAGCUCAGCAGAGACAGGAUGAAAAAUUCAUCUUGUGCUACCAUAAGCACGUGGUUGACCAUAGUUCAAUAUUAAAGUGUGGCUGUCUUACUACAUCAGCAUUUCAUAAACCAGCAUUAAGCAGAAUUUAAAGAAUCUGGCCCAGAAAAUAGCAUCAGUAGAGUACUUUGGUUAUCUGGCAUUACAUCACUUUAGAGAGUCAAAGCAUCUGGUGGUAUCAGCUCUUGCCAGCUGAGCUGGCCAAAGGAGUAAAAGUCCUGUGAGUACAGAACAGGUACAUGGAAUAGUUGUGGGUUUUUAAGAAAUUAGGUGAUUAUGGCAGUAGCUUGUGUUAUUUGACUAUUAUUUCUUGCCUUGCUACAAACUUUUGAUAUGUCUUGCAUAAUCUUGGUCACUCAGUCCCCCUCGUUAAAAUGAGGCUAAUAACUCUUCUUCAUUUUACUCAUCAUAGGAAAAAGAAAUCUAGUGAGUACUGUGGCCACUUAAAAUGUGUGUGUAUGAGGACAAUGCAGACACUAAGUACUUC